GUCUUUUUGAGUUAUUUUUAAAGUCUGACCUGCCCACUGAAUAUUUUUAAAUGGCCGCAGUAUUCUAACUGUGCAAAGGUAGCAUAAUCAUUAGUCUUUUAAUUGAAGGCUGGUAUGAACGGUUGGACGAAGUAUAAGCUGUUUCAUAUAAAAUUAUAUUAGAAUUUUAUAUUUUAGUUAAAAAGCUAAAAUUUUAUUAAAAGACGAGAAGACCCUAUAAAUCUUUAUAUUUAAUAUUAAUUGAAUUUUUUUGAUUUAUUUUAUUUUUUUAAUUUUAAAUAUUUUGUUGGGGUGAUAUUAAAAUUUAAUGAACUUUUAAUUAUUUAUUAAAUCAUUAAUUUAUGAAUAGUUGAUCCAUUAAUAAUGAUUAUAAGAUUAAGUUACUUUAGGGAUAACAGCGUAAUUUUUUUUGAGAGUUCAUAUCGAUAAAAAAGUUUGCGACCUCGAUGUUGGAUUAAGAUAUAUUUUUAGGUGUAGCCGCUUAAAUAUUGAGUCUGUUCGACUUUUAAUUUCUU
Molecule: ribosomal RNA, 515 nt
Filed under: Ceratitis discussa
Lineage: Eukaryota; Metazoa; Arthropoda; Insecta; Diptera; Tephritidae
Description: partial 16S ribosomal RNA
Rfam family: Bacterial large subunit ribosomal RNA (bases 391-515)
Source: RNAcentral